CGGGGCUUGCUGUCACCCCGCAGGGAGGCAGCCUGGGCUCGACCGCUGCGGGCUGAAGGCGGUGGGGCUGCCGUGUUUGCAGCAAACCUGGCGGGUUUGAAUUGGACUAUCUUCAGCUUCCAACUCCUGGAUCUUGUUAUGAUUUUGGCUGGUGCAUCAAAGAGGCCUCUGCUAUCAGAAAUCCUCUCCCCAUGUCCCACGAAGGAGGGAGGCGAGGACGGAGGAAUGAAAUACAAAGCCCUUCAAUUAUGCCAAUAUGUUUUUAUGAGAAUCAGCCUGUGGCUCCAUUCUCAGCUCUGCCAGCUCACAGAUUUUGGAACGGAUCGCUACAAGAUUUUUAUACUCUCUACUCCUGAUCUGAAUUCCGGCUUGACCAAAUUGUCUGGGAAUGCUGUGCCUAGCAGAAACAUGCCUCUGAAGGGUGACUUUGACAUAACAUCAAAAGGAUGAGAGCGACUGAUUCCAUGUCAGUAUCUCUGGGGCAGAAACCCUUCCAGCAAUGGACACAUCAAAACAUCUUCUUAGUUGUCCUGACCCACCGGAAUUUGAGUCUGCUAACAAAGAGGCAGUGUUGGUAUCCGUGUUUCCCAAGAUGUCUGGCUUGCCUGCCUGGUUAACAUUGAUUUUAAAUAAAUGUUUGCU
Molecule: long non-coding RNA, 642 nt
Organism: Trachemys scripta elegans
Lineage: Eukaryota; Metazoa; Chordata; Testudines; Emydidae
Exons: 4
Source: RefSeq, a predicted model, not a curated record